AGAGUUUGAUCCUGGCUCAGGACGAACGCUGGCGGCGCGCCUAACACAUGCAAGUCGAACGAAGUCAAGAGGAGCUUGCUCUUUUUGACUUAGUGGCGAACGGGUGAGUAACGCGUGAGGAACCUGCCUCAAAGAGGGGGACAACAGUUGGAAACGACUGCUAAUACCGCAUAAGCCCACAGCUCCGCAUGGAGCAGAGGGAAAAGGAGCAAUCCGCUUUGAGAUGGCCUCGCGUCCGAUUAGCUAGUUGGUGAGGUAACGGCCCACCAAGGCGACGAUCGGUAGCCGGACUGAGAGGUUGAUCGGCCACAUUGGGACUGAGACACGGCCCAGACUCCUACGGGAGGCAGCAGUGGGGAAUAUUGCACAAUGGGGGAAACCCUGAUGCAGCGACGCCGCGUGGAGGAAGAAGGUCUUCGGAUUGUAAACUCCUGUUGUUGGGGAAGAUAAUGACGGUACCCAACAAGGAAGUGACGGCUAACUACGUGCCAGCAGCCGCGGUAAAACGUAGGUCACAAGCGUUGUCCGGAAUUACUGGGUGUAAAGGGAGCGCAGGCGGGAAGACAAGUUGGAAGUGAAAUCUAUGGGCUCAACCCAUAAACUGCUUUCAAAACUGUUUUUCUUGAGUAGUGCAGAGGUAGGCGGAAUUCCCGGUGUAGCGGUGGAAUGCGUAGAUAUCGGGAGGAACACCAGUGGCGAAGGCGGCCUACUGGGCACCAACUAACGCUGAGGCUCGAAAGUGUGGGUAGCAAACAGGAUUAGAUACCCUGGUAGUCCUCACUGUAAACGAUGAUUACUAGGUGUUGGGGGAUUGACCCCCUCAGUGCCGCAGUUUAACACAAUAAGUAAUCCACCUGGGGAGUACGACCGCAAGGUUGAAACUCAAAGGAAUUGACGGGGGCCCGCACAAGCAGUGGAGUAUGUGGUUUAAUUCGACGCAACGCGAAGAACCUUACCUGGGCUUGACAUGUAAUGAACAACAUGUGAAAGCAUGCGACUCUUCGGAGGCGUUACACAGGUGCUGCAUGGCCGUCGUCAGCUCGUGUCGUGAGAUGUUUGGUUAAGUCCAGCAACGAGCGCAACCCCUGUUGCCAGUUACCAGCACGUGAAGGUGGGGACUCUGGCGAGACUGCCCAGAUCAACUGGGAGGAAGGUGGGGACGACGUCAGGUCAGUAUGGCCCUUAUGCCCAGGGCUGCACACGUACUACAAUGCCCAGUACAGAGGGGGCCGAAGCCGCGAGGCGGAGGAAAUCCUAAAAACUGGGUCCAGUUCGGACUGUAGGCUGCAACCCGCCUACACGAAGCCGGAAUCGCUAGUAAUGGCGCAUCAGCUACGGCGCCGUGGAUACGUUCCCGGGUCUUGCACUCACCGCCCGUCA
RNAcentral lists this ribosomal RNA (1380 nucleotides) under uncultured bacterium. RNAcentral describes it as "bacterial SSU rRNA". It matches the Rfam family "Bacterial small subunit ribosomal RNA". The record is from RNAcentral.